UUGGUUAAGUUAGAAAGGGCGCACGGUGGAUGCCUUGGCACUAGGAGCCGAAGAAGGACGGGACUAACACCGAUAUGCUUUGGGGAGCUGUACGUAAGCGUUGAUCCAGAGAUUUCCGAAUGGGGGAACCCACUAUCUUUAGUCGGAUAGUAUCCUUACGUGAAUACAUAGCGUGAGGAAGGCAGACCCAGGGAACUGAAACAUCUAAGUACCUGGAGGAAGAGAAAGAAAAAUCGAUUUCCUGAGUAGCGGCGAGCGAAACGGAAAGAGCCCAAACCAAGAAGCUUGCUUCUUGGGGUUGUAGGACACUCUAUACGGAGUUACAAAAGAAAGUUAUAAAUGAAGCGGUCUGGAAAGGCCCGCCAAAGACGGUAACAGCCCGGUAGUUGAAAUGGCUUUCCCUCCAGAGUGGAUCCUGAGUACGGCGGAACACGUGAAAUUCCGUCGGAAUCCGGGAGGACCAUCUCCCAAGGCUAAAUACUCCCUAGUGACCGAUAGUGAACCAGUACCGUGAGGGAAAGGUGAAAAGCACCCCGGAAGGGGAGUGAAACAGUUCCUGAAACCGUGUGCCUACAAGUAGUUAGAGCCCGUUAAUGGGUGAUAGCGUGCCUUUUGUAGAAUGAACCGGCGAGUUACGAUUUGUUGCAAGGUUAAGCGGAAAAAGCGGAGCCGUAGCGAAAGCGAGUCUGAAUAGGGCGCAUAAGUAACAGGUCGUAGACCCGAAACCAGGUGAUCUACCCAUGUCCAGGAUGAAGGUAAGGUAAUACUUACUGGAGGUCCGAACCCACGCACGUUGAAAAGUGCGGGGAUGAGGUGUGGGUAGCGGAGAAAUUCCAAUCGAACUUGGAGAUAGCUGGUUCUCUCCGAAAUAGCUUUAGGGCUAGCCUCGAGGUAAAGAGUCAUGGAGGUAGAGCACUGUUUGGACUAGGGGCCCUUCUCGGGUUACCGAAUUCAGAUAAACUCCGAAUGCCAUGUACUUA
This 980-nucleotide ribosomal RNA is filed under the name Listeria monocytogenes. Its description in RNAcentral is "partial 23S ribosomal RNA". It matches the Rfam family "Bacterial large subunit ribosomal RNA", at positions 1 to 973 of the family's 2925-position model. Lineage: Bacteria; Bacillati; Bacillota; Bacilli; Caryophanales; Listeriaceae. The record is from RNAcentral.